This is a long non-coding RNA of Carcharodon carcharias (great white shark), 2134 nucleotides long. RefSeq lists it as uncharacterized. The record is from RefSeq and is a predicted model, not a curated record. The transcript is spliced from 3 exons. NCBI's taxonomy places the organism in Eukaryota, Metazoa, Chordata, Chondrichthyes, Lamniformes, Lamnidae.
CUGUUUUUGUUAUACAUACGUCAUGAUGUAAAUGAAAUGCGUGACGUCAUGACGUCGCGGGACCGCCUCGCUGGAGCCAAAUGGCGGCGGCCACAGCGGUGAAACGAUGCCCUGGAUUCAGAGCUUCUCCCCCGCUCACCUGUACAGCAACCUGGAGGGGGUUGCUCCCCUCAUCCACCUGCUGGGGGUCCCGGGCACCCGCCAUAGGGUUACCAACCCACCAGGCAAUUGAAGACCAGUUGGAAGGAUACUGUUGUGUGCAGCACUGGAGAAAACUCAUAAAUAGAUUGUGCUUUUUCUUUCAACAUUUCUCUUUAACAGAUGUAAAAAUAUUGAAACUGGGGAAAAUGGGCUGUUUGGCUGAUAGUCAAACAUCAUCCAAUUGGCUACUGGGUCUUUUUACUUUCCAAUUGGCGUAGGAAGGUGGUCUAAGCAACAAGGAUGGAUGUGUUGGCUGACUCACAGCUAGAGCUUGGGGGCAUAAAACCAAUGAAACGCUAAUGAUAGAGGAUUGUGCCAGUGAAGUAUCUUCAAGGGAUGAUUUUGAAGAUGAAACUAUGAGUCUGCAGAGCUGCAAAUUAAGGAACUCUGUUGCAUCUAUUGACUACAACCAUCAUUUGGACCGUUCAUAUCAAUGUAAAUGUUAAUGAUUUUGUAGUAAUUGUCACCUUUAGGAUUCAGAAAGUAGUAAUAAUUCUGUUGGGCUUGGCAGUUCAUUUCAGUUCUUGAUGUCGUGUUAUAGUUUACAUUGUUUAAACCAAAUAUAAUAAUAGAACUAUGGGAAGUGGCAACUGUUACCUUGUCUCAACUGGUAACAUUCAUCUCAGUCAGAAGGUUGUGAGUAGGAAUAGGACAUACACCCCUUGAACCUGAUCCAUCAUUCAGUAAGAUCAUGGCUGAACUUCUAUAUUAACUCUACUUUCCCAUCCUAUCCACAUACCCCUUGAGUGCCCAAAAUCUAUCAGCCUAAGUCUUUAAAACAUUAAUUGACUGGGGUAGAAAAUUCCAAAAAAUUACUAUCUUCUGAGUGAAGAAAUGUUCUCCUCAUCUCAGUUCUAAGUGGCUGAUCCCUUAACCUAAGACAAUGCCCCCUAGUUCUAGACUCUUCAGCUAGGGAAACCACCUUUCAAUCAGCUUGAUUGAGAACACCUCUCAUUCUUCUAAAUUCCAGAGAUUAUAGGAUAAUUUGUUCAAUCUCUCCUUGCAUGAUAUCCCUCUUAUCUCAGUCUAACAAACUUAUGUUGCAUCCUGUCUAAGACAAGUAUAUCCUUCCUUCAGUUAAGGAGACCAAAACUGUACACAGUACUCCAGAUGUUGUCUCAUCGAAGAUCUUUAUAAUUGCAGCAAAACUUCCUUACUCUUUGUUCCAAACCCCUUGCGAGGUUUAAAAUAUAAGCUCACAACAAUGCAAUACUUAAGGAGUAUUGGGUAGUCAGGAGUGCCAACAUUUGGAGAGAUAUUGUAAAGCAUUUUCAGCUUAUUCAGGUGUGUUAUUGAUCCAUGGCACUAUUCUGAGAAGAGUAGGGUCAUCUCCCAGUGACCAAGGACAUUGCUUCCUCAACUGGUUCCAUUUUGGAAAAAAAAAACACAAUAGCUAAGUUUAUAACUGGAUAACUGUGGUCAUGGUACAUAAAACUUACUCACUCUUCCAGAACCAUUUCAUCCAAUUCAGGAUUUCAGGGAUUGGAGCCAAUCCCAACAGACAAUGGGUGCUAGGUGGGGGUCCACCCAGGACACUCACACACACACUAGGGGAUCUUUUGCCAUAGCUAAUCCACCUAACCACCACGUCUUUGGAUGGUGGCAGAAACCCCCACAGACAUGGAGAGAACGUGCAAAUUGCACACAGACACCCAAGGCCAGGAUCAAACCCGGGUCCCUGGAGCUGUGAGGCAGCAGCGCUAACCACUACGCCACUGUGCCACCCGCAUAUAUAAAUCUCGUAAAUAUAAUUACUUUUGAAAUGUUUUGACAAGUGCAACAUAAUGACAUGUAUAUCAAUAACUAGUCUGUUUGUACAUUCAAGAAGGCCAUUUUGCAAAAUGAAUUACUUUAUGACUGAUGAAAAAUUCAGCCUGCUAAUAGCAUGUAUGAUUGACUAAAAGAUCAUCAAUAAAAUAUAAACUAAAGUUUA